AAGAGGUAUGUAUGUUAAUAUAUAUACUAUAUUUUGCUGCUGUUAAUUUUUUCCUGUAUUAAUUUUUAUUUUAUUUUAAAUGGCCAUAUUAAGGGGCUGUCACAGGGGCAAAGUGAGUGCUGCCUGGGGCGGAUGUUAUGCUCUGGGCAGCAGUUACAAACAAUGGUUAGCGGCAAAGUAACUCAAAUUUUAGCUCGCAACUCAAAGCAAGAGAGAGAGCUCUUAUCUCAAAAAACUUGAGACACUCGCAAGUCAAGGUACGACUGUACUACAUAAAACAGUAAAAUAAAACUUCAAGUUGAUACAACAGCGAUGACCAAAUUAUGUACAUUUGAUGAAUUUGUUUAAAAAAAGAGCAUAUAUCAAUUUGGAUACAUUUUAUAUUUUUGUAAUUUUGAGUUAUAGGAGCUGAAUUUAUGCAGCUGAAUAUUGCAUAAAAUAUUUGCAAGAGCAGUUUUUAAUAAAUUAUUCGAUAAUCAUCCCUUCUUAGUCAUGUUAGCAAUAUGCUAAAAUAAUAUUUUCAGCAUAACAGCAUGUAUGAAAAUUGUUUUAGCCCUAAUUAAAAUAUCAUCUGUAUAUAUAUAUUUUUAACAUUUAAUUGAAUUAUUACAAUAUAAAUCGCUGUCACUUAUUAUAUCUGAUGAGUGCGUUAUAUACUUCUUUUCCUCUAAGUUGCAGGACUGUUCUUGCACUUUCAACAUUAAGAGGAGUUUAUUAUUAUUAUUCAGCUAAAGGUCGAAAGACGAACCCCUCUAUCAUUCAACAAGAAUAGAAAAGAAUUCUUUCAAUAAUGCUUAGAUUGGCAGCUAGUUUUUUUUUUUAUUUACAUCAUUUUAUCUGGAAUGUCUAAACUUUGGGGAAAAUGACGUAAAUGAAUAUCAUGCAAGUAUUUUUAAAUCUGCAUUGUAAAACAUUUGCAUUAUAGUGUUUUUUUUAUCAUCCAAAAAUUUUUUAUUGUAUUUUUAAUCGAAUAUUUUAUUUACGGAAAUAGUCAAGUAUAUAUAUAUAAAAAAAUAGCUAUAGUAGUAAGUAUUGUUACUAACACUUGAUUUUUUCAAUGCGAAAAAAUUAUGUAACUGAUUUUUACUCUUCUCCGAGCAUAUAUAUGUGCUAAUGCAAGGCUGAUUAUUACUUGUAAUUUUAUUAUGUUUCAUUCUCAAACUUAGCAUUUUCCCUCAAAAAUUGAAUCCAGAGCUACAUAAUGCACUGCCAUUUCCAUCAACAUGUCGGUUGAAGUCAUUCCUAUUUAGCCUUUUACACAAUUUUUUUAAAUUCAGUUUCAGUCAUAUCAGUGCAAUAUAAUUUUUUGUAUUAACUGAAUAAUUAAAUAUUUCUUACAUCCAGAAAGAAUUAAUGCUAGUCUCUGAAUAACAAAAAUGGAAGUUAAUAGUAUAAAUAUAUAUUUAAUAAUAAAAGGAACUCAAUAAUCAGAUAAAUAUGGUAUUUGUAAAUAUUACAUUGUUUAACACAAUGCUAAUUAUCAUCAUCAUUAAAUACUGUAGUAAUAUAUUGGCCCUAUAAAAUUUGUAGCUGUAACGAUUUUGGUUUUGGAUAAUCGCAUCUCGUUUUAUUUAAUAACGAAUAUUCGGUUCCCUUCCGUCUUCCAUGAUUAAUAAGACAAAAAUCUGAUUAUGUGUAUAUCAUCAUUUGAAAAAUUGUACAGACGUGAGGAUCGCAAUAUCAAGAUUUAAAAAAAAAUUUCACUAAUUGAAGCAGAUUCCAUUAAUUUAAUCAUAUCAUUCAAUGUAUAUCCAGUGUUCAUCUAAAGACAAAUGUUUUCUAAAAUAUAUGAUGUCGACUUUUUGUUAGUUACAACAGUUCAGUGUAAUAUAAAAAAAAAGUCAUUUGUGCGAGAGCAAAACUUUCAAAAUGAAUAUAAUCAAAACUCCUCUUCCAAACUGUUGCAUUCUUGUGGGCAAAUCCAUUGUCAUAUUUUUCUGUCGAAGAUAUUGCUUCUCAAUUUCUUUUUUUUUAAUUGAAAGAAAUGUAUAUAUUCCAUUAUGGUUUAGAUUACAAAAGCUGUGUUCGUCACAGUGACAAAUAACGUUAUUACUAGAGCGAACAUCUUGUACAUUUAUAAUAAAAUUAGUUCUCCCGAAACGAAAAGUACUCCGAGAGAUACUACAACGUUAACCGGCAAAAAGUAACUUUGGAUGUUCCUUGUGCCGAAUUCUCAAAUAAUUUGCAAGAUUUUUCCACCACAAAGUGAGUCAAAAGAUAGAGUUUGUUUUCUUUUGAAAUAUUUUGACUGUGAAGAAAUGAAAAAUAACCGUGAAUGCUCAAAUUGCAUAAGAUUUUUCAUUUCUGUAUCAAAAUUCCUUUAAUUAGAUAAACUUGCUGCAAAAAAAAAAAAAAAAAAAAUCACAAUUGUAAUUAUAAACCAUGUAAAUAGUAAGCAGC
RNAcentral lists this long non-coding RNA (2400 nucleotides) under Androctonus crassicauda. The record is from RNAcentral. Lineage: Eukaryota; Metazoa; Arthropoda; Arachnida; Scorpiones; Buthidae.